CCUGCUUUUUUCAGAAUUGCAUCAGUUCAAAUAUUAUUAUUCUGACAGGUACGUCUUCCAAAUGCAGAUUAUUAAAUGUGCAAUCAAUGUGUGCAAAAUUGGGGGAGAAUGUUUGUAGAGCACUGCCAGGAUUUCACGCCUUUACUGGUUGUGAUUCAGUUAGUGCUUUGUCUGGUAAAGGAAAAAGCAAAGCAUUCGGUGUUUUGACACGUUCUGUGGAGUUUUCAGAAGGUCUAUCCCGUCUUGGUGAAACUUUUGAAGAGGUAGGCGAAGAACGGUCAAAAACACUCGAGAGGUUUUUGUGUGCUA
Molecule: long non-coding RNA, 309 nt
Filed under: Mytilus galloprovincialis (Mediterranean mussel)
Lineage: Eukaryota; Metazoa; Mollusca; Bivalvia; Mytilida; Mytilidae
Source: RNAcentral